AGAGGAAGCCAGGUGCCCCCUAGGGAGAGCAGCUGAACGUGUCUCUGGGCAGGCCCGCAGAGUCCUGUUGCCCACGCUCUCAGGAGGGAGCUGGACGCUCUGGUAGCCAGAGCUCAGGGCUGAGCCACGUGUUCAGGAAGGCCUGUAACUCCUACAAACAAAAAUUUGAGAGGCCUCUCCAGCUCAGCUAGUGCCCUGAAGGCAGAGCGAGGGAGCAUAGCAGCAGGCCACUGCGUGCUCCUCCCCUGGGGCUCAGACACAGUCGAGGGACUCCCGCCAUCCAUUCACUCAGCCAACCUUGACUGAGCCCUGGGCCCAGCCCGAGGACAUGCCAGUGAACAUGACAGAAGUCCUUCCUUCCUGGAACUGACAGUCGGGGAGCCGUGCGGCACAGAGAGAGACUGUAUAAACAUCCUGGGCCACUCAGAAACAUGACCGGAACUGUUUAAAGAUCAACUGAGGCAUAUGAAAAUUUUUAAGACUUUACUUGAGCAAAAUCGAUGGGAAUCAGGCAAGGCCAAGCGGAAGUGGUUAGGAGUGCUCCGCCAAGGGGAGCCCGGGGAAAACUCACCUAGAGAAGCUUUGGCCAUUGGGAGCUCUUUCAGGUUGGUUCCAGCAUCACUUUGACGUGCCUUCAUCCUUUUGUUUGAGGGAACCUCCUUACUUUCUCGCAUUAUAAGAUGCUCCAGGGUGACCCCAAAUAGCCAAAGGAAUCCUGAGGAAAAAGAACAAAGCUGGAGGUAUCACACUCCCUGAUUUCAAAAUAUACUACAAAGCUAUAGUAACCAAAACAGCAUGGUACUGACACAGAAAUAGACACGUAGAUCAAUGGAACAGAAUCGACAACCCAGAAAUAAACCCACACAUAUAUGGACAGCUAAUUUUCAACAAGGGAGCCAAGAGCAUACAAUGGAGAAAGGAGAGUCUCUUCCAUAAGUAGCGCUGGGAAAACUGGACAGCCACAUGGAAAAGAAUGAAAGCAGACCAUCAUCUUACACUAUACACACAAAUUAACUCAAAGUGGAUUAAAGAUUUGAAUGUAAGACCUGAAACCAUGAAACUUCUCGAAGAAAACAUAGGCAGCACGCUCUUUGACAUCGGUCUUAGCAGCAUGUUUUCAACUACCAUGUCUGACUGGGCAAGGGAAACAAAAGAAAAAAUAAACAAAUGGGACUACAUCAAACUAAAAUCUUCUGCACAGCAAAGGAAACCAUCAAGAAAACGAAAAGACAACCUAACAUGGGGAGAAGAUAUUUGCCAACCAUAUAUCAGAUAAGGGGUUAAUAUCCAAAAUAUACAAAAAACUCAUGUGUCUCAACAACAAAAAAACCAACAACCCAAUUAAAAAAUGGGCAAAAGAUCUGAAGGAGAGUUCUCCAAAGAAGAUAUGCAGAUGGCCAACAGGCACAGGAAAAGAUGUUCAACAUUAUUAACUAUCAGGGAAAUGCAAAUCAAAACUACAAUGAGGCAUCACCUCACUCUGGUCAGAAUGGCUAUAGUUAACAAGACAGGAAACAGCAAAUGUUGGAGAGGGUGUGGAGAGAAGGGAACCCUCAUACACUGCUGGUGGGAGUGCAAACUGGUG
Equus caballus (horse) is the source of this 1585-nucleotide long non-coding RNA. NCBI's taxonomy places the organism in Eukaryota, Metazoa, Chordata, Mammalia, Perissodactyla, Equidae. The record is from Ensembl.